CAGAGCUAUGAACAUAAAUAAAAGAUUAUGUUGCAAUACAUGAACUGCCUUGCAGUAUCAAUGUACAGUACAGUUAGGUUGGUCUUGUAUUUUUUUUAAACAAAUGGCUAACAUCUGUACAGCAAUGGCAGAUAGGGCGCCCUCCCCAAAUAGAACGUGAGUUACUAUGUAUAUACCUGUUUAUUCUGUCUUCCUUACGACAGAUAUCAUCUUGGUGGUUAAAAAAAGUAGUGACUCCCUCAAGUACAAGACGUUUAUGGCCCUGAAAAAUAUCCAUGUGCAUACAUGCAUGUUAUCUCAUCAUUGGAGUAUUGCUACUGUACAGGAGAACAUAACAGUAGCCAAACGUCUUAACAAAUAUAGGGGGCCUGGGCCCCCACAGCCCCUAGAUCCGCCCAUGAUUGAAGAAUACCUUUGUAGAGAGCAGCAGUAGCUGGUAAGCAAGUGGAGGGAGCUCCUGAAGAUCCAAGUCCUUAAAUAAUCUUAGAAUCUUCUCAAUAACAAAGCGCAGCUCAUCUGAACUCAUAGGGAUAUCCCUAAUAAAAUCAGAAAACCAUGUUCAUGGGCUUUUGAA
Molecule: long non-coding RNA, 574 nt
Organism: Nematostella vectensis (starlet sea anemone)
Lineage: Eukaryota; Metazoa; Cnidaria; Anthozoa; Actiniaria; Edwardsiidae
Exons: 2
Source: RefSeq, a predicted model, not a curated record